This 508-nucleotide ribosomal RNA is filed under the name uncultured bacterium. RNAcentral describes it as "partial 16S ribosomal RNA". It matches the Rfam family "Bacterial small subunit ribosomal RNA", at positions 28 to 507 of the family's 1533-position model. The record is from RNAcentral.
GACGAACGCUGGCGGCGUGCCUAAUACAUGCAAGUCGAGCGCAGGAAGUCAUCCGAACCCUUCGGGGGGACGUUGACGGAAUGAGCGGCGGACGGGGGAGUAACACGUAAAGAACCUGCCCUCAGGUCUGGGAUAACCACGAGAAAUCGGGGCUAAUACCGGAUGGGUCAUCGGACCGCAUGGUCCGAGGAUGAAAGGCGCUCCGGCGUCGCCUGGGGAUGGCUUUGCGGUGAAUUAGCUAGUCGGCGGGGUAAGGGCCCACCAAGGCGACGAUGCAUAGCCGACCUGCGAGGGUGAUCGGCCACACUGGAACUGAGACACGGCCCAGACUCCUACGGGAGGCAGCAGUAGGGAAUCUUCCACAAUGGACGAAAGUCUGAUGGAGCAACGCCGCGUGAACGAUGAAGGCCCUCGGGUCGUAAAGUUCUGUUGUAAGGGAAGAACAAGUGCCGCAGGCAAUGGCGGCACCUUGACGGUACCUUGCGAGAAAGCCACGGCUAACUACGUG